UAGGGAAUCCUCGGCAAUGGGGGGCAACCCUGACCGAGCAACGCCGCGUGAGUGAAGAAGGUUUUCGGAUCGUAAAGCUCUGUUGUAAGAGAAGAACGUGUGUGAGAGUGGAAAGUUCACACAGUGACGGUAACUUACCAGAAAGGGACGGCUAACUACGUGUCAG
RNAcentral lists this ribosomal RNA (166 nucleotides) under uncultured bacterium. RNAcentral's name for it is "partial 16S rRNA". It matches the Rfam family "Bacterial small subunit ribosomal RNA", at positions 355 to 511 of the family's 1533-position model. The record is from RNAcentral.